Molecule: ribosomal RNA, 470 nt
Filed under: uncultured bacterium
Lineage: Bacteria
Description: bacterial SSU rRNA
Rfam family: Bacterial small subunit ribosomal RNA
Source: RNAcentral
GAUGAACGCUGGCGGCGUGCCUAAUACAUGCAAGUCGAACGAGGCCCUUUGUAUUCGUACGAAGGUGUCCUAGUGGCGAACGGGUGAGUAACACGUAGGUGACCUGCCCCGAAGAGGGGAACAACCCCGGGAAACUGGGGCUAAUACCCCAUAACCUCCUUGGAGUUAGAGGACCUUGGAGAAAAAGGAGCAAUCCGCUUUGGGAGGGGCCUGCGGCCCAUCAGCUAGUUGGUAGGGUAACGGCCUACCAAGGCGAUGACGGGUAGGGGACCUGAGAGGGUGGUCCCCCACAAUGGUACUGAAACACGGACCAUACGACUACGGUCGGCAGCAGUAGGGAAUAUUGCACAAUGGGCGAAAGCCUGAUGCAGCAACGCCGCGUGUGUGAUGAAGGCCUUCGGGUUGUAAAGCACUUUUCUGAGGGAAGAGAAAGGACGGUACCUCAGGAAUAAGUCUCGGCUAACUACGUG